Molecule: ribosomal RNA, 488 nt
Filed under: uncultured bacterium
Lineage: Bacteria
Description: partial 16S ribosomal RNA
Rfam family: Bacterial small subunit ribosomal RNA
Source: RNAcentral
AUUGAACGCUGGCGGCAGGCCUAACACAUGCAAGUCGAACGGUAACAGGAAGAAGCUUGCUUCUUUGCUGACGAGUGGCGGACGGGUGAGUAAUGUCUGGGAAACUGCCUGAUGGAGGGGGAUAACUACUGGAAACGGUAGCUAAUACCGCAUAACGUCGCAAGACCAAAAAGGGGGACCUUCGGGCCUCUUGCCAUCGGAUGUGCCCAGAUGGGAUUAGCUAGUAGGUGGGGUAACGGCUCACCUAGGCGACGAUCCCUAGCUGGUCUGAGAGGAUGACCAGCCACACUGGAACUGAGACACGGUCCAGACUCCUACGGGAGGCAGCAGUGGGGAAUAUUGCACAAUGGGCGCAAGCCUGAUGCAGCCAUGCCGCGUGUAUGAAGAAGGCCUUCGGGUUGGAAAGUACUUUCAGCGGGGAGGAAGGGAGUAAAGUUAAUACCUUUGCUCAUUGACGUUACCCGCAGAAGAAGCACCGGCUAACUCCG